Molecule: unclassified non-coding RNA, 211 nt
Filed under: uncultured Phanerochaete
Lineage: Eukaryota; Fungi; Basidiomycota; Agaricomycetes; Corticiales; Corticiaceae
Description: sequence contains ITS2
Source: RNAcentral
AAUUCUCAAUCCCUUAGAUUUCUUGAUGAAGUCUAGUGGGGCUUGGACUUGGAGGCUUGUGUUGGCUCUUGUUAGCUGACUCCUCUCAAAUGUAUUAGCGUGAAUCUUUUACGGAUCGCCUUCAGUGUGAUAAUUAUCUGCGCUGUGGUGUUGAAGUAUCUUUUCAUAGUUCAUGCUUCCAAUCGUCUCUCUCGAGACAAUCACUUUGACA